CGAUAAUGGAAAAGCAAAGCAAGGCCUAUGGGGUUCAUGUUUUGGCACUUCCUUACCCAAGCCAAGGCCAUGUAAAUCCCAUGUGCCAAUUCUGCAAGAAGUUAGUCUCCAAAGGAACAAAAGCCACUUUAGCAGUCACCAACUAUAUUUCCAAAUCUACAAGCCCGAAAUCCGACACCGUGGCUAUCGACACAUUUUCUGACGGUUACGAUGAAGGUGGUUUCACGCAAGCUGGUGAUGUCGACAAAUAUCUAGUGCGUUUGGAAAAAAGAGGCUCCAAAACAGUGGCAGAACUCAUUCAGAAGUACCAAAAAUCUAACCAUCCUAUUGAUUGUAUUGUUUAUGAUUCAAUGUUGCCUUGGGCUUUGGAUGUGGCCAAAGAGUUUGGAAUUCUUGGAGCCUGUUUCUUCACACAGGCUUGUGCUGUUAAUUAUGUGUACUAUUAUGUGCAUCAUGGGUUGUUGACACUGCCUGUUUCGUCGCUGCCAGUCGAGAUUCCUGGAUUUCCACCCCUUCAUCUGCCUGAUAUGCCAUCAUUCAUUUAUGUAUAUGGAUCUUAUCCAGGUUACUUCCACUUGGUGUUAAACCAAUUUUCAAAUGUUGACAAG
RNAcentral lists this long non-coding RNA (608 nucleotides) under Olea europaea subsp. europaea. Lineage: Eukaryota; Viridiplantae; Streptophyta; Magnoliopsida; Lamiales; Oleaceae. The record is from RNAcentral.